CCUACGGGACGCAGCAGUGGGGAAUAUUGCACAAUGGGCGCAAGCCUGAUGCAGCCAUGCCGCGUGUGUGAAGAAGGCCUUCGGGUUGUAAAGCACUUUCAGCGGGGAGGAAGGCGGUGAAGUUAAUAAUCUCAUCGAUUGACGUUACCCGCAGAAGAAGCACCGGCUAACUCCGUGCCAGCAGCCGCGGUAAUACGGAGGGUGCAAGCGUUAAUCGGAAUUACUGGGUGUAAAGCGCACGCAGGCGGUCUGUCAAGUCGGAUGUGAAACCCCCGGGCUCACCCUGGGAACUGCAUUCGGAACUGGCAGGCUAGAGUCUUGUAGAGGGGGGUAGAAUUCCAGGUGUAGCGGUGAAAUGCGUAGAGAUCUGGAGGAAUACCGGUGGCGAAGGCGGCCCCCUGGACAAAGACUGACGCUCAGGUGCGAAAGCGUGGGGAGCAAACAGGAUUAGAUACCCUUGUAGUC
RNAcentral lists this ribosomal RNA (465 nucleotides) under uncultured bacterium. RNAcentral describes it as "bacterial SSU rRNA". It matches the Rfam family "Bacterial small subunit ribosomal RNA", at positions 338 to 795 of the family's 1533-position model. The record is from RNAcentral.